AGAGAGAGAGAACAACAGGAGGACAGUAGAGAGAGAGAGAGAACAGGAGGACAGUAGAGAGAGAGAGAGAACAACAGGAGGACAGUAGAGAGAGAGAGAGAACAACAGGAGGACAGUAGAGGGAGAGAGAACAACAGGAGGACAGUAGAGAGAGAGAGAACAACAGGAGGACAGUAGAGAGAGAGAGGACAAGAACAACAGGAGGACAGUAGAGAGAGAGAGAGAACAACAGGAAGACAGUAGAGAGAGAACAACAGGAGGACAGUAGAGAGAGAGAGAGAGAACAACAGGAGGACAGUAGAGAGAGAGAGAGAACAACAGGAGGACAGUAGAGAGAGAGAACAACAGGAGGACAGUAGAGAGAGAGAGAACAACAGGAAGACAGUAGAGAGAGAGAGAGAACAACAGGAGGACAGUAGAGAGAGAGAGAGAACAACAGGAGGACAGUAGAGAGAGAGAGAGAACAACAGGAGGACAA
Long non-coding RNA from Oncorhynchus tshawytscha (Chinook salmon), 478 nucleotides. The record is from Ensembl. Lineage: Eukaryota; Metazoa; Chordata; Actinopteri; Salmoniformes; Salmonidae.